GCGAUGAUAUCUCUUCACUAGUAGAAAAAAUGACAAAGGCACCCCACCUUUGGCACCGGUUUUUGAAAACCGGUGGUUAAAAAAACGUGCGGGAUUUCAAAACAAGAUUUUGGCACCAGUUCCAGCCAAACUGAUGGCAAAUUAUCUUUUUGGCACCAGUUCAAACCGGUGCCAAAUAAAAAAAAAAUAAAAAAAAAGGGAGAAAGGGAUUUGGCCACCAGUUCGAUUGUAAAAUAAAAAAAACUCGGAAUUACUCAUCUUUCUUUCUCUUGCUUUCAUUUCCUCGAUCUUUCCUCCUCUCUCAUCUGAUCUGCCUCUCUCUCUCCUCCAUUGAAGCAUACUCGAAUUUCUCCAUUGAAGGGGCUUCUUGAACCCUCGAUCGAAAGGGGUUUCAAAAGUGCUCUCUAAAACUUGCAGUGGCUUCUGACCUUUGUCUCCUCCAAUGGUGGUACCAUUUUUUUUAGAUCAUCUUCAUUGUCUAAGGUUUAGUCUUACAAUUUUGUUAAUUUGGUAUGCUACUCUGUAUUCCAUUUUCAUUAAUUCAAUGGCGAUUCUUCAAUUUUGCCUCAAUUUGUGGGUGUCUUUUGUGAAUCCUUGACGAAGACGACGAUGCCUUCAUUCUCCUGGUAAAGACACUUAUGAAGGAUCAUUUAAAUGGAAAAGCAGAAGGAUCAAGUGAAAAGUCGUCUCAGCCCUAGUGCAUCAGUUGAACCAAACUCACGUAACUUUGAUGAUUUAGUGUUGAAAUUCCUGAACAGCAAAGAUGUUUGGGCUGUAGAGUUCUUUGCACCUUGUCCCACCGUAGAAUGAGUCAUCCCAACAUCAUAAAGCUGAAAGAAGUACGAGAAAAUAAUGAGUUGUUUUUUAUAUUUGAAUAUAUGGGUGCUGCUGUGCUUGUGCCCUGCGUGGGGUUUAGUGCUGGGCUUUUGAAGCUGCAGCUGCUGUUGUUGGGCUGCCUGUUGCUGGGGUGUUGCUGUUUUUCUUUUGGUGUAGCUACUGCUGGUGCCUAAUGUUUUCUGCAGGUUGGUCUGUUGCCACCUGUUGACCUGUUUUGCUGGGGGCUGCUGCCACCUGCUGCAGUGCUGAUGUGUUGCCGAGUUGCCGUAUGUGUUCAGCAUUCAACUGAAAUCUCAAGUGUUUUUUUUUUUAGUUUUUUAAAGUGUAAUAUUACAAGUUAUUGAAGAAAAUAUGUGUUUAUGUAUAUUAUGAUUAUAUAUAAGUAUUUGGUACAAUUUAAGUGAAAAAAUGCAAAAUUUUUUUUUUUAUUUUUUUUGGGCAUUUUUGGCGCCGGUUUUGGAAAAGAACCAGUGCUAAAAGUUUU
Molecule: long non-coding RNA, 1321 nt
Organism: Chenopodium quinoa (quinoa)
Lineage: Eukaryota; Viridiplantae; Streptophyta; Magnoliopsida; Caryophyllales; Amaranthaceae
Exons: 4
Source: RefSeq, a predicted model, not a curated record